CAGGGAGACAACAAAAUGUUAAAUAUUAAUUUUGUCACUUAGGUCGAUCGGUAUCUCACAUUCUUAACUUAUUAAGAAUUUUAUUUCCUAAGUUUUUUCUAGGUCACACCCAUUACUUUUCCUGGGCCAUUAGCUCAGGUGGUUAGAGCGCACCCCUGAUAAGGGUGAGGUCCCUGGUUCAAGUCCAGGAUGGCCCAUAUCUCUAUGUUGGGGGUAUAGCUCAGUUGGUAGAGCGCCUGCUUUGCAAGCAGGAUGUCAGCGGUUCGAGUCCGCUUACCUCCACUGAUUCCCACCUCUUCCAUAACCGGUAGAAAGGAAAUGUUUUGAGUUGUGAUCAUUAUUCUGAACGAAUCUAGCUUCCUAAUAAAAUCAUUAAGAUGCUGGACUCAUUGAAUUAUUUUCAUUGUUUUCAGAGAACCUUGACAACUGCAUAGAUUAUUUUAAAGACAAUAAGCAUCUUUAAUGAUGCAGAUUUAUUAUUUGUGCGAAUGCAUUAAUAACAAUUCUAUUAAGCUGAUGCUUCAA
Molecule: transfer RNA, 525 nt
Filed under: uncultured Prochlorococcus sp.
Lineage: Bacteria; Bacillati; Cyanobacteriota; Cyanophyceae; Synechococcales; Prochlorococcaceae
Description: partial 16S-23S ribosomal RNA intergenic spacer
Rfam family: tRNA (bases 210-282)
Source: RNAcentral